RNAcentral lists this ribosomal RNA (274 nucleotides) under uncultured bacterium. RNAcentral's name for it is "partial 16S ribosomal RNA". It matches the Rfam family "Archaeal small subunit ribosomal RNA", at positions 473 to 747 of the family's 1478-position model. The record is from RNAcentral.
AAACCAGCACCUCAAGUGGUCAGGAUGAUUAUUGGGCCUAAAGCAUCCGUAGCCGGCUCAGUAAGUUUUCGGUUAAAUCUGUACGCUCAACGUACAGGCUGCCGGGAAUACUGCAGAGCUAGGGAGUGGGAGAGGUAGACGGUACUCGGGAGGAAGUGGUAAAAUGCUUUGAUCUCUCGAUGACCACCUGUGGCGAAGGCGGUCUACCAGAACACGUCCGACGGUGAGGGAUGAAAGCUGGGGGAGCAAACCGGAUUAGAAACCCCAGUAGUCC